Molecule: long non-coding RNA, 7680 nt
Filed under: Mytilus galloprovincialis (Mediterranean mussel)
Lineage: Eukaryota; Metazoa; Mollusca; Bivalvia; Mytilida; Mytilidae
Source: RNAcentral
AAUAAUUAUGACUUCUUGAAAGGCUAUUACAUUUUUUUUAUUUGACGCCUUACUGUACAUUAGAGUAAAGCGUCCAAAAAAUAAUAUUAUAAUAGCCUUUUCAAGACGUCAUAAUAAUUUGGACUACUAGACUACCCAGAAAUUAGAAAACACUGAUAUAAAAAUUUAAUAUACAUAAAAUUGAUAAUGGAAAUGGGGAAUGUGUCAAAGAGACAACAACCCGACCAUAAAGCAGACAACAGCAGAAGGUCACCAACAUGUCUUCAAUGCAGCAAGAAAUUCCGGAGGCGUCCAUCAGCUGGCCCCUAAACAAAUAUAUAUACUAGUUCAGUGAUAAUGAACGCCAUACUAAACAUGCUAAACUCCAAAUUGUACACAAGAAACUAAAAUUAAAAAUAGUACAAGACUAACAAAGGCCAGAGGCUCCUGACUUGGGACAGGCGCAAAAUUCAAGCGGGGUUAAACAUGUUUAUGAGAUCUUAACCCUCCCCCUAUACAUGUACCUCUAGCCAAUGCAGAUGUAUGAUAUCUAUUGAUUUAAAUUGAUGUGUCAUUUCUGAAACCAUGAUUGUGGAUUCAUAUUUAUUAUUAAAUUAUUAUGUACAUGUAAUUUAUGUAUUUAUUUAGUGUAUCAUAAUCUAUUUGAACUUUUUUUUAGCUUACUCAAAAUCAAGCUGUUUGGGCCUCCUCUUGUACAUGGGAAGUGGACUCCUUGAGAAGGUGAAAGGUCUGCUUUACAUGUACGUAAUGUUAAUAUAAAAAUACAAAAAAUGUGGUGAUCAUGGUGAUAGUGAAUGAGAAAAUAGAGGAAUUUUUAAAAGUGUAAAUUCACUUUUUUCCACUUAUAAAUCUGUCAUAUUGUAAUUAUGAUAAUAAUGUUUAAAUUACAUAAUUAGGGAGCUACCAUUUGAUUUUUAGGGGGGGGGGGGGGGCUAGGAUGAAAAAUUUUGUCCUGCAUUUUUUUUCAGUUGUAAUUUCUGUCCUGCCUUUUUAUUUUUCACUCUAUUCGGUCCUGCCUUUUUUUUUUAUUAGUUUAUUCCGACUUUUUUUUACCUAAAUUGUCAUCCUGCAUUUUUUUUGCAAAGUGUCUCAUCCUGCCUUUUUUUUACACUCAAAACUCCUGUCCUGCCUAUUUUUUUCAAAUUUCAUCCUAGCCCCCCCAUAAAAAUCAAAUGGUAGCUCCCUUAUUUUCAAAAUAAAAUAUUGUUUAGGUUGCUAUAAACAGUUUCGUAUAAAAACUAGGGGUUAUUCCCCAACUAAAAAUAGACAUGGAGGGAAGUCCCUUUUUAUCAACAUAAUUGGUGAAAAAGUAUCAUGUUUUUUGUAUUUGGUUGUAAAGAUAUAUUAAUUAACUUCAAUUAAAGCAGGUUGAAUGAUUAAAAUAAUUAAAAAAAUUAGAUUAAAUAUACAUGUUUUGAGGGGAGACAACACUGUAAACAGUCUGUUUUUUUUGGCAGUGAAAAUUGAAAACUUAUUUGCAGACACUGUAGCUCUUUAUGGAGCAGGCGAACGUACCCUGAAGCAUGAAUUUUUUGAAAGACCAGGUAAAAAUCUAUGAAAUUCAUACAACUUUGAUUAUGAAAAAUGUGCAGGUAUCAUGUCUUCAGGGGUGUGCACAUGACCUGAUUUCAGGUUUUUGUCGAGCCUGCAACUUUUGUUGCAGAAAGCUCGACAUAGGGAUAGUGAUCCGGCGGCGGCGGUGUUAGCUCACUUCUUAAAAGCUUUAUAUUUUAGAAGGUGGAAGACCUGGAUGCUUCAUACUUUGUAUAUAGAUGCCUCAUGUUACGAAGUUUCCGUCAGUCACAUGUCCAAUGUCCUUGACCUCAUUUUCAUGGUUCAGUGACCACUUGAAAAAAAAGUUCAGAUUUUUCGUAAUGUUGAAUUCUCUCUUAUUAUAAGUAAUAGGAUAACUAUAUUUGAUAUGUGCGUACCUUGAAAGGUCCUCAUGUCUGUCAGACAGUUUUCACUUGACCUCGACCUCAUUUCAUGGAUCAGUGAACAAGGUUAAGUUUUGGUGGUCAAGUCCAUAUCUCAGAUACUACAAGCAAUAGGGCUAGUAUAUUCGGUGUAUGGAAGGACUGUAAGGUGUACAUGUCCAACUGGCAGGUGUCAUCUGACCUUGACCUCAUUUUCAUGGUUCAGUGGUUAUAGUUAAAUUUUUGUGUUUUGGUCUGUUUUUCUCAUACUAUAUGCAAUAGGUCUACUUUAUUUGUUGUAUGGAAUGAUUGUAAGGUGUACCUAUCUAGCAGGCAGAUGUCAUGUGACCUUGACCUCAUUUUCAUGGUUCAGUGGUCAAAGUUAAGUUUUUGAGUUUUGGUCUUUUUAUCUAAUACUAUAUGCCAUAGGUCAUCUAUAUUUGGUGUAUGGAAAUAUUUUAUGAUCUUUAUGUCAGUCGCGCAGGUUUUAUUUGACCGUGACCUCAUUUUCACAGUUCAUUGCACAGUGUUAAGUUUUUGUGUUUUGGUCUAUUUUUCUUAAACUAUAAGUAAUAGGUCAACUAUAUAUGUUGUAUAGAAGCAUUGUUAGCUGUACAUGUCUGCCUGGCAUGGUUCAUCUGACCUUGACCUCAUUUUUAAGGUUCAUUGGUCUUUGUUUAGUUAUGUUGGUUAAUGUUAAGUUUAUGUGACAGUUGUAUUAAAGCUUAGCUUUAUACUUAGGACUAUCAACAUAAUAUCAAUGAUUAGUAUAGAAGGCGAGACAUUUCAGCGUGUGCACUCUUGUUUAAGCUUAAAUUAGGCAAUGUUUUUCCCAGUUUCUCUGGAUAAAACUUUUUUAUACUAUUAAAAGUACACUUUUUUUUUAUUCCAUUAUAAACUAGAGAACAUUCUGAUUCCAGUGAUAUCUAGUUUUAUACAAGUAUCUUUAUUAAUCAGUCCACCACUAAGGGUCACUUAUACAUGGUCCCUCAAAAUAUGACGUCAUAGAAAAAAACUGUUGAUUGCACCCUUAACAAGAAAAGAAAACUCUCCACCAGAAAUCAAGUGACAUCGAAGUUAACUGUUAACAUGUACAACAAUAGGUCACUUUACAUCCUUCAACAAUGACUAUGAGCAAAGCCAAUACUGCAUAUUCAGUUUUUAAGGACCCUAUAUGAGAAUCACAAAUUUGUAAAUCAAUUCAAACAAGAAAACUAAGAGACUGAUUUAUACAAUGUAAAAUAUAAAAAACAGAACAAAAAAAAAUAUGAUAAACAGCAAGAUAAGACAAAUUGAACCACUAAAUUACACUUAUUUAGUUAGAAAUAUGUGUCGGAUGACCCCUCUUGCUAACUAACAUGCCAACAUGACUAAAAAUAGAACAUAGGGGUAAAAUGCAGUUUUUGGCUUAUACAUGUAUCUCUGAAAGCAGAAACUAAAGCAUUCAGAGCAAAUUUGACCUGGAGUUAAAAUGUUUACCAGGUUAAGAAGAGCUAUCCUUUUUUUUCAGGGAAAGUUUGUUGGUCUAGUUUAAAAGAUCAAAACUAAGCCAAUUUUGCAAGAUCAAAUAUUAAAUGCAAUUUUGGCAGAUAUUAUAACUUCAUUUCAUUAAACAUUAUUUCUUUUAGCAUUUUCAAAGAAUGUACAAGUACAAGUACUUUGAGAAGUAGGAGAAGAUAAGCAACAGAACAGAAUUCAUUUGGGUCAUUGCUGUCUAGAUUAUAUAGUGGAUUCAUAGAUUGUCAUUAUAUUGAUUUAUGUGCAUAUGAGCACAGAGGAGCAGUAGUCAAUGAAUAAUUUUGUGAUGAGAGGUAUGUUUAUAUUAAAAUGAUGCCUAGUUUAUUUGAUAAUUUUGCUCUCUUGUCAAACUCGGUAAAUCAUGACAUGUAGUUUCACAAGAUUUAUUUUAAAAUUUGAGGUCAUAGAGUUCCAAGUUUUGAUUCUUGUUGUGGGCAAGUUUGAAAAUUAUCCAUGUUAACAGUUAGAAGUGACAAAUUAUUUUUUUCACAAAACCAUAAACAAUUUAACUAAGAUUUAACCCUUUCCUCCAUGGAAUUUUUUGUUUACAAACUUGAUUCGCAUAGGCCAAGGACUGAUAAUACAUACGAUAUGAAAAAUGACAUGUUAUGAUCUUUUUAUCAUAUGCUUCAACAGUAGAGAAAAAUAACAGAUCAUAUAUUGAUCCUUCUACGUGGUUCCCGAAAAGAUCUUGAAAAGAGUAAAAAGUUCACGGACGUCGGACCCAAAAUUUGAUACAUUCAAUAAGAAAUCUUUCUAUCAUAUGCCUCAACAGAGAGAAAAAAAAAAACCAACAUUUUAAUAUGGACGAAUCGACAAAAAAUAAUUUCAACAAUAUACAUGGUGAAAAUUGUUUGGAAAAGUCAACUUUUUUUAAAGUAACUUUCUAAAUUAUGUUUCAGAAAAACUUAAAAAAUGCAUUUAUUUAAUAUUUUUUUUUUUUAAUUUAAUUUAAUUAUUUUACACAAUAUACUUUCCAGUAUUCAUAUAAUUGUUUUGUACACUACUUUGUAAUGUUUUUCACUGAAAACGUAGCAUUAAGGUGUAUUUUCCGGAAUUUGCCGAGUAUCACCGAAAUGCCAUGUGAUAACGUUACGGAAAGGCAUGUGAUAACAAUCGAAGCAUGUGAUAAACUUUUCAUAUCAGCCCGCUAAGCACCAAUUCGAAAAAUAUAGAAAAUACUUUAAUUUAAUGCUAUUAUCAUACGGUAAAAAUCAUAUGUUAUUAAGUCUAAGUAUAUGAUAAUAGAAUUUAUUGCACGCUAACUUUUAGUUAUUUUCUGUGGAAAUAUUAUAUUGCUAUGCAAUAAUAGAAUUUAUUGCACACUAACUUUUGGUUACUUUCUGUAGGAAGUAUUAUAUUGCUACAUGUAUGCAAAAAUUCUUAUUAAUUAGUGCUUCACUUAAAUGUUGACAAGUUUCUUACUCCUUGAUACAGGUCCUAAUUUGGAUUGUAAAUAAAUAUUUGACAUAUUAUAUGUUUCUGAAUAAAUGUAGUCAAAGAACUUGAAAUUGGUUACACAGCUACUUUUGCAUCUAUGUACUAUUUCUGAACCAAAAAAUAUGUAGUACUGUAGCUUCGGAGGCGACGGCAUCAACAAUGUAUUAGUUUGUGAUUAGGUCUAGUUUAUGGUGAACCACAUGUGAUAGGAUAAUCAUAUUUGGUAUGCAGUUGUAUAAGCAUUGGCACAUCUCAUUUCCAUGGAGAUUAUUUGGCCCUGCCUUCUCAGUCAUGGUCUAUUGACUUCGAAACUUUUGCUCAUACAUGUAUUAGUUUGUGAUUAGGUCAGUUUAUGGGGAACCACAAGUGGUAAGUCAAUGAUAUUUGGUAUGCAGUUGUAUAAGCAUUGGUAUAUCUCAUUUCCAUGGAGAUAAUUUGGCUCCGCCCCCUUAGUCAUGGUCUAUUGACUUUGAAAUUUUUUCUAAGUUAUCAUGUAUUAGUUUGUGAUUAGGUCAGUUCAAGGGGAACCAUUAGUGGUUGGGCAAUGUUAAUUGGUAUUCAGUUGUAUAAGCAUUGGCACAUCUCAUUUCCAUGGAGAAUAUUUGGCCUCGCCCCCUCAGUCACAGUCUAAUGACUUUGAAACUUAUCUUAGUUUACAUGUAUUAGUUUGUGAUUAGAUCAGUUUAAGAUAAACUGCUUAUGUUUAGUCAAUAAUAUUUGGUAUGCAAAUUUAUUGGCAUUUGCAAGUAUUGUUUCCAUGGAGAUUAUAUAGCCCCACCCCUCUCAUCAUGGUUCAUUGACUGUGAAACUUUUACAUAGUUUACACAUUAAUGUUUGUAAUUAGGUUUGGGAACGACUUAUACAUGUACCGUACCUAAAUGUUACAAUAAUUUUUAAGUAAAGAAAGUUAUGAUACUAAAUAUCAAAAGUAAAUGUCCAGUACUACAGAUUUUAAAUACAGAAACAUUACCUAUGCAAAAGUAGCAGUUUAUAUGAAUUCAAGAAUUGAAUCUACAUGUAUAUUCAAUUAAAGAUUUCUUGCUGUUGUGCAAUACACUGGGCUGUUGCGCAAUAAUUGGUUAAUCUGUUGUCAGACUGCAAACAAACAAUAAUUUCUCAAUGUCACAUGUAUAUCAGAAAUUUAUAAAAAGAAAACUAAAAGGAGGUUUUCUUAAUAGCUAUAAAUCGGUCAUCAAAGUUUAACGAAAUUUUAAGGAUACAUGUAUUUCCAAAAACUUGAAAGUCACCCCUUUUCUUAUGACAUGUAUGAAGAAAAUCUUAUAACUCAGAAACUGACAAACUUAAAUUUAUAAAAAUCAAAUGGGAGCUUACAACAAAAAAUAUGAACAAUUUAACUAAGUUUCAUGAUAUUCAGCAUUUUUAUGUCCCACUCAACGAAGUUUUGGGGGUAUAAUGUUUUUGACCUGUCUGUCUGACGUCAAGUCCUGUUUCUUGUCAUCACAACUGUUCUCAAACCACACAACAGAAUUUCAUGAAAUCUUUUUAGAUAAUAAGGACAUACAAUGUAGAUGUGCAUAUCGACAGGAAAUUAAGAUUCAAUUUUUUUUUUUUAGGAGUUAAGCCCCUUUGAACUUAUUUGCUUUAAUGUACUACUUCAACAGUUUGUUAUUGCAACUCUCCUGAAUCCACACAACAGAAUUUCAUGAAACUUUGUAGAUAAUAAGGACAUACUAUGUAGAUGUGCAUAUCAACAGGAAAUUACAAUUCAUUUUUUUUUUCUAGGAGUUAUGCCCCUUUGAACUUAUUUGCUUUAUUACUACUUCAACAGUUUGUCAUUGCAACUCCUCUGAAUCCACACAACAGAAUUUCAUGAAACUUAGUAGAUAAUAAGGACAUACUAUGUAGAUGUGCAUAUUGACAGGAAAUUAUGAUUCAAUUGAAGUUUAUCAAUUGCCAAGGUACAUUGAAAGGUUGUUCUUUUAUUAAAAUCUGCACAUACAUGUAUAUAUAGGAUUUUUUUAUAAGCUUAAACUUGAUCUUCUUUCUGUUGUUAGCUUACAUUUUGUUUCAAUUUACUUAAAAGUAAAAGUAUAUAGGAAAGGUAUAAAUUAGUGAGCAUCGGUUCAUACUACAUAUAGUUUUUGUCUGGACUUCUUGAUUAAUUUAUAUAUAUAUAUACAAUUUUAGCUUGUUACCAAAUGAAAGGAAAGGACAUUAUUGGCAAGGAUUGAUAUUACUGGUGAACAUGUAUGUCAUGUAGGUGUGAAUGCCCUGCAAAACAGACCUGAUAUCAAAGUAAGUUCAUCUGUAGAAUUGCAGUUAAUUUAAAUAAUUUUAUGUUAUCUACCUAAAACUGUUUCAAGUUUAAUUGUACAUGUACAGUGUUGCUUAUUUUUCUCACUUUCUGAUUCAAUGCAUGCAUUAAGCCUUACUCUGCUCGCCUCCUUCUGCUCCAUACACACACACUUGAGAUGUCAGAAAUUCAGACUAUCAUAGCAUUUACAUUACAAACUUACCUAGUCAGACUGGCCAAUAUUAUGUUUUGAUAAGUUAAACGUUGUUAUUUAGAAAACAUAAAAUAUUUGCCACUGGACAUUCAAAUAAGCAAAAAAAAAACGACCAGUUAAUGAUUUUGCAUUAACAGAAUGAAUUUGCAAACAUAUAACAAUUAGCUUAUGUAAUUCAUGGAAGUUAGAUUUAUAUUCUUUAUGAAUAUUUUAUUUCAGUUACCAUCACAGUGAACAUGGUGAAGAAUAACCAAUACCAUGAAUACAGGACACAGAAGACUACCUCACAAACUUGGGAAUUUUACAAAAAAUAGAACGUUUAAAUUUACAAAGAAGAC